AGUUAUACGUAAAUACUUUUUGUAACGUAAAAGCAAAAUAAUUUCAUUCAUACUGUGACACAGUAAACCAAUGCAUUUAAAUUAAAUUAAUUUAAUUUACAAUAUCAAGCGGGCCCACGAAUGUCUAGAAGUGAGGAAAACGGUGAACCUACAGUUCGGAGGACGCAAGUCCAAUGGAAGCCCUCGAUGAAAUCAGCUAUCUACUGUAGACACCUAAAAAAUAAAUAAAAAAUUUAAAUUAUAAUAAAAUAAAAUAAAAUAUAAAAAAUAAAUAAAGAA
RNAcentral lists this long non-coding RNA (279 nucleotides) under Theobroma cacao (cacao). RNAcentral describes it as "long non-coding RNA (TCAC_LNC000589)". Lineage: Eukaryota; Viridiplantae; Streptophyta; Magnoliopsida; Malvales; Malvaceae. The record is from RNAcentral.